UUCCUACGGGAGGCAGCAGUAGGGAAUUUUGCGCAAUGGGGGAAACCCUGGCGCAGCAACGCCGCGUGAUUGAUGAAGCCCUUCGGGGUGUAAAGAUCUGUCAGUGGGGACGAAACUUGACGGUACCCACAGAGGAAGCAUCGGCUAACUCCGUGCCAGCAGCCGCGGUAAUACGGGGGAUGCAAGCGUUGUCCGGAAUCAUUGGGCGUAAAGAGUUCGUAGGUGGCACGUUAAGUCUGGUGUUAAAUGCAGAGGCUCAACCUCUGUUCGGCACUGGAUACUGGCGAGCUUGAAUGCGGUUGAGG
RNAcentral lists this ribosomal RNA (305 nucleotides) under uncultured bacterium. Its description in RNAcentral is "bacterial SSU rRNA". It matches the Rfam family "Bacterial small subunit ribosomal RNA", at positions 336 to 657 of the family's 1533-position model. The record is from RNAcentral.